UGAGGAAUAUUGCACAAUGGGGGCAACCCUGAUGCAGCGACGCCGCGUGGGUGAUGAAGGUUUUCGGAUCGUAAAGCCCUUUUCUGCAUGACGAGCACAGGACGGUAGUGCAGGAAUAAGUGUCGGCUAACUACGUGCCAGCAGCCGCGGUAAAACGUAGGACACAAGCGUUAUCCGGAAUUACUGGGCGUAAAGGGCGUGCAGGCGGUUGCGUAAGUUAGGCGUGAAAGACUUCGGCUAAACCGGGGGAGGUCGUCUGAUACUGCGCAACUAGAGUAUGGUAGAGGCGUGUAGAAUUCCGGGUGUAGUGGUGAAAUGCGUAGAGAUCCGGAGGAAUACCAGUGGCGAAGGCGGCACGCUGGGCCAUAACUGACGCUAAGACGCGAAAGCAUGGGUAGCGAACGGGAUUAGAUACCCAGGUAGUCCCUGAGCGGGCUGGCAAGGCGCAU
Molecule: ribosomal RNA, 449 nt
Filed under: uncultured bacterium
Lineage: Bacteria
Description: bacterial SSU rRNA
Rfam family: Bacterial small subunit ribosomal RNA
Source: RNAcentral